Molecule: non-coding RNA, 72 nt
Organism: Bos taurus (domestic cattle)
Lineage: Eukaryota; Metazoa; Chordata; Mammalia; Artiodactyla; Bovidae
Source: Rfam
UCCCUAAUAGCUCAGUUGGUAAAGAAUCUGCCUGCAAUGCAGGAGACCCUGGUUUGAUUCCUGGGUCGGGAA